CAAACGACUCUCGGCAACGGAUAUCUCGGCUCUCGCAUCGAUGAAGAACGUAGCGAAAUGCGAUACUUGGUGUGAAUUGCAGAAUCCCGUGAACCAUCGAGUUUUUGAACGCAAGUUGCGCCCAAAGCCAUCCGGCUGAGGGCACGCCUGCCUGGGCGUCACGC
This 164-nucleotide ribosomal RNA is filed under the name Microseris laciniata. Its description in RNAcentral is "5.8S ribosomal RNA". It matches the Rfam family "5.8S ribosomal RNA". From Rfam's summary of the family: 5.8S ribosomal RNA (5.8S rRNA) is a component of the large subunit of the eukaryotic ribosome. Lineage: Eukaryota; Viridiplantae; Streptophyta; Magnoliopsida; Asterales; Asteraceae. The record is from RNAcentral.